This 251-nucleotide ribosomal RNA is filed under the name uncultured prokaryote. Its description in RNAcentral is "partial 16S rRNA". It matches the Rfam family "Bacterial small subunit ribosomal RNA", at positions 525 to 775 of the family's 1533-position model. The record is from RNAcentral.
ACGGAGGAUGCGAGCGUUAUCCGGAUUUAUUGGGUUUAAAGGGUGCGUAGGCGGAUUAAUAAGUCAGUGGUGAAAACCUUCAGCUUAACUGGAGAACUGCCAUUGAUACUGUUAGUCUUGAGUACGGUCAAGGUAGGCGGAAUGUGUAAUGUGGCGGUGAAAUGCUUAGAUAUUACCCCGAACACCGAUUGCGAAGGCAGCUUACUGGGCCAUUACUGACGCUGAGGCACGAAAGCGUAGUGAGCGAACAU